Ipomoea nil (Japanese morning glory) is the source of this 485-nucleotide long non-coding RNA. RefSeq lists it as uncharacterized. The record is from RefSeq and is a predicted model, not a curated record. Lineage: Eukaryota; Viridiplantae; Streptophyta; Magnoliopsida; Solanales; Convolvulaceae. The transcript has 2 exons.
CUUGACUUCUGAGCUACAGAGCUAGUGAGCUUGCGGACCACCUAAAGUCUGAGCCGAUCAAAUAUUAGGGUUUGUAAUAAAGCAGCUUCCAGCUUCGAGGACGACGAACUUCGCACAGUGACAAUGAUUUACGACGUCAACUCGCCGCUGUUCCGCUCGUUUCUCAGCCAGAAAGGAGGCGGUUCCGAUAAGAGGAAAACUGAAGAGCAAAAGCCAAAGGAACAGAAGCCUAAAGCGAAUGAAAACAAGCCUGUUAUGAAUGAAUAAUAGCUUCCUGAUGUAUGCAAAUCCAGGCAUUAUAGAAUGCUUUUGAAGUUGUUAAUAAACUGUUUUGAACUCUAUCUGGCAUCUGCUGUGUGCUGUAACAUGAUGUUGAAAAUUCUGCUGCAAGUAUGUAAACUAUGGGCUGUUUUCUAUCCUGAAUUGCAGUAUAUGUGAUCAACUCUUCUACUAAAUCUUCAAUUGAUUUGACAGAUUUUGCUAAA